RNAcentral lists this ribosomal RNA (750 nucleotides) under uncultured bacterium. RNAcentral's name for it is "bacterial SSU rRNA". It matches the Rfam family "Bacterial small subunit ribosomal RNA", at positions 13 to 741 of the family's 1533-position model. The record is from RNAcentral.
UUGAUCUUGGCUCAGGACGAACGCUGGCGGCGUGCCUAAUACAUGCAAGUCGAGCGGAUCAAUUAAGAGCUCGCUCUUAUGAGAUCAGCGGCGGACGGGUGAGUAACACGUGGGCAACCUGCCUUACAGACUGGGAUAACUCCGGGAAACCGGGGCUAAUACCGGAUGAUCAAUGGAAUUGCAUAAUUCUAUUGUAAAAGUUGGGAUUUAUCCUAACACUGUGAGAUGGGCCCGCGGCGCAUUAGCUAGUUGGUGAGGUAACGGCUCACCAAGGCAACGAUGCGUAGCCGACCUGAGAGGGUGAUCGGCCACACUGGAACUGAGACACGGUCCAAACUCCUACGGGAGGCAGCAGUAGGGAAUCAUCCGCAAUGGGCGAAAGCCUGACGGUGCAACGCCGCGUGAACGAUGAAGGUCUUCGGAUUGUAAAGUUCUGUUGUUAGGGAAGAACAAGUGCCAUUCGAAUAGGUUGGCACCUUGACGGUACCUAACCAGAAAGCCCCGGCUAACUACGUGCCAGCAGCCGCGGUAAUACGUAGGGGGCAAGCGUUGUCCGGAAUUAUUGGGCGUAAAGCGCGCGCAGGCGGUCUCUUAAGUCUGAUGUGAAAGCCCACGGCUCAACCGUGGAGGGUCAUUGGAAACUGGGGGACUUGAGUGUAGGAGAGGAAAGUGGAAUUCCACGUGUAGCGGUGAAAUGCGUGGAUAUGUGGAGGAACACCAGUGGCGAAGGCGACUUUCUGGCCUAUAACU